RNAcentral lists this ribosomal RNA (542 nucleotides) under uncultured bacterium. Its description in RNAcentral is "bacterial SSU rRNA". It matches the Rfam family "Bacterial small subunit ribosomal RNA", at positions 28 to 526 of the family's 1533-position model. The record is from RNAcentral.
GACGAACGCUGGCGGCGUGCCUAAUACAUGCAAGUCGAACGCGUCUACGUUAAUGAAAUCAAUGUGCUUGCACGGCGAUGGAUUUAACAUUAGACGAGUGGCGAACUGGUGAGUAACACGUGGGUAACCUGCCCUCAAGCAGGGGAUAACACUUGGAAACAGGUGCUAAUACCGUAUAACAACAAAAACCGCAUGGUUUUUGUUUGAAAGAUGGUUUCGGCUAUCACUUGAGGAUGGACCCGCGGCGUAUUAGCUAGUUGGUGAGGUAAUGGCUCACCAAGGCAAUGAUACGUAGCCGACCUGAGAGGGUAAUCGGCCACAUUGGGACUGAGACACGGCCCAAACUCCUACGGGAGGCAGCAGUAGGGAAUCUUCCACAAUGGGCGCAAGCCUGAUGGAGCAACGCCGCGUGAAUGAAGAAGGUCUUCGGAUCGUAAAGUUCUGUUAUUAGAGAAGAACACGUGUAAGAGUAACUGAUUAUGCGUUGACGGUAUCUAAUCAGCAAGUCACGGCUAACUACGUGCCAGCCGCCGCCGUAAAAC